Molecule: non-coding RNA, 1349 nt
Organism: Xyrichtys novacula (pearly razorfish)
Lineage: Eukaryota; Metazoa; Chordata; Actinopteri; Labriformes; Labridae
Source: the annotation of a GenBank genome assembly
UGCGAGCGUAUCUGUCAAAUGUACGGUUAAAGGGCUAUUUCGCAUUUUUUGCCGAUCCGCACACAUUGGAAUUUCGCUAACUCCUCCGAAGGCUUUCGUUCCAAAGGCACCACAUUUGCUCAGGCCAAUCUACACCCCAUGGCCAUUAAAAGUUGUACAAAUCAUGACGCUGCACCCCACGGUUUACGUUCUAGGGGGCGCCAAAGAUAACCCAAAAAUCCACAGUCUUAAAAGUCUUAUAACUUUUUAUUUUUGUCCUCACUGGCCUCCAAGUUCUCUAGGAUGAUGCAAUGUCCAGCCAUCAACACAUUUGUGAAGGAAUUUUUACUCGCCAAAAGAGCGCCCCCCCAUGGCAGGAGAAAAAAGUCCAUUUUUUCUUGUCUCCUAAGGCGAAAAUACACAUUGUUGACUGUCACGCCUUUACGCUUUGUCAAAAUGACACAAAAUUUGACACACACAUGUAUCUCAAUAAGAUCUACGAAAAAGUCAAUGCGAGCGUAUCUGUUCAAUGUACGGUUAAAGGGCUAUUUCGCAUUUUUUGCUGAUUCGCACACAUUGGAAUGUGGCUAACUCCUCCUAAAUCUUUUGUCCCAUCGGCUUCAAAUUUGCUCAGGUCAAUCUACACCCCAUGGCCAUUCAAAGUUGUACAAAUCAUGACGCUGCACCCCACAGUUUACGUUCUAGGGGGCGCCAAAGAGGACCCAAAUAUCCACAUUUUUAAAAGUCUUAUAACUUUUUAUUUUUGUCCUCACUGGCCUCCAAGUUUUCUAGGAUGAUGCAAUGUCCAGCCAUCAACACAUUUGUGAAGGAAUUUUUCUCCCCAAAAGAGCGCCCCCCAUGGCAGGAGAAAAAGUCAAGUUUUUCCUGCCCAUCGCUCAAUGGCUCAAACGCAUCGCUCUCUCGGCAAAACCGAAAGGAGGAGCAACUUGCCAUUUGGAUAUAUACUAGCUGUGUUUGUGCCCUCACUCAUGGUCCAGACUUUUUUCAAAAAGGACAUGGAGUUUGUCUGCAGCGAGCGUUUUGGUAGAAACUGCGCCUCCCAUUCAUUAUAAUGGUAAAUGACCACAGACAAGUGCGCACACCAUCUUUGGACCUUGAGUGUGACGCGAUCGGGAGGGGUAGGCGGUCGCGCUGGGGGCGGCGCGACACGGCUCGGGCCCGCCAGUGCCCCAACGGGGCCCUAGUUAUUAUUAUUUUUCCUCCGCUUUAAACUGGAAAAUGGCCCACUUCCCACCGGCGAAAACUCAUGAAAUUUGGCAGGAUGACCGGGCCUGGUGAAAAAUUCGAUAUUCUGAUGUCGCCCAAACAAUAAAAUGCAAAAUGGCUCAAUAGCGCCCCCAAAGGUGAAA